CUAGUAAGAUCCCUGAAAGAUGAUCAGGUUGAUAGGUCAGAGGUGGAAGCGCGGUGACGUGUGGAGCUGACUGAUACUAAUCGAUCGAGGACUUAACCUUA
Molecule: ribosomal RNA, 101 nt
Filed under: Mesobacillus persicus
Lineage: Bacteria; Bacillati; Bacillota; Bacilli; Caryophanales; Bacillaceae
Description: Bacillus persicus 23S rRNA. Bacterial LSU
Rfam family: Bacterial large subunit ribosomal RNA
Source: RNAcentral